RNAcentral lists this ribosomal RNA (236 nucleotides) under uncultured bacterium. Its description in RNAcentral is "partial 16S ribosomal RNA". It matches the Rfam family "Bacterial small subunit ribosomal RNA", at positions 28 to 263 of the family's 1533-position model. The record is from RNAcentral.
GACGAACGCUGGCGGCGUGCUUAACACAUGCAAGUCGAGCGGUAAGGCCCUUUCGGGGGUACGACGAGCGGCGAACGGGUGAGUAACACGUGGGUGACCUGCCCUCAGCUCUGGGAUAAGCCUGGGAAACUGGGUCUAAUACUGGAUAUGACUCCACGGUGCAUGUCGUGGGGUGAAAAGCCUUGUGCGGCUGAGGAUGGGCCCGCGGCCUAUCAGCUUGUUGGUGGGGGUGACGG